Molecule: ribosomal RNA, 465 nt
Filed under: uncultured bacterium
Lineage: Bacteria
Description: partial 16S ribosomal RNA
Rfam family: Bacterial small subunit ribosomal RNA
Source: RNAcentral
CUACGGGUUGCAGCAGUGAGGAAUUUUGCGCAAUGGGCGAAAGCCUGACGCAGCAACGCCGCGUGAGUGAUGAAGGCCUUCGGGUCGUAAAGCUCUGUCAAGUGGGAAGAACCUAUGUAAUGUUAAUAUCAUUAUAUACUGACGGUACCACUGAAGGAAGCACCGGCUAACUCCGUGCCAGCAGCCGCGGUAAUACGGGGGGUGCAAGCGUUAUUCGGAAUCAUUGGGCGUAAAGGGCACGUAGGCGGCCUGGUAAGUCAGAUGUGAAAGCCCGGGGCUUAACCCCGGAAGUGCAUUUGAUACUGUCAGGCUUGAGUAUGGGAGAGGGAAGUGGAAUUCCUGGUGUAGAGGUGAAAUUCGUAGAUAUCAGGAGGAACACCGGUGGCGAAGGCGACUUCCUGGACCAAUACUGACGCUGAGGUGCGAAGGCGUGGGUAGCAAACAGGAUUAGAUACCCGAGUAGUC